UCAUAUAUUUUCUUAGCCUUUGAAAAACACUCGAUUUAAGUUUAUAAUAGUUCUCAAAAUUUCUUUCAAAAUAUUGUGUCUACAGGACAACAAUACUUGCAUAAAAGUUUAAGCGUCUGUUUUACCAUCUCUGCAUCAUAGAUAUUCUCUUAACAAUGUGAGUUAUAUUCACAAAGAGACUUCAAGUCUUGAAGUUUCAGUAAUAACUAAUUAUAACUUAUUUUAUCUAAUAACACAUUCGUAUAAGAAUUGCUUUAUACAACUUUUAGAUCUUUAGUAGUCAAAGAUUGAACAUAAUCUUUUGGAUAUGUCACUUAUUAUCCAUGUGAGAUUCAUUACUUCUCCUCCUCGAAAUGAUGAAACUUCAAGUUCAUCCAUCUCGUUUUUAAUUCCACUCUAGAAUCAUAGUAUAUUUUAUAUCUCAUCAUAUUAACUUUAAGAUUUGGAGAAUUAUACGGCAUCAAUGAUUUUAAUUUUGUAUUCCCAUAAAAAACAAUGUAUAUGCUCUUCUAGAGUCUUUUAAUAAGAUUUUAUACUACUUGAUAUACUAGAUUAUUUCAUCUUUAGAAUAUUUUUU
RNAcentral lists this small RNA (577 nucleotides) under Arabidopsis thaliana (thale cress). Its description in RNAcentral is "ATSL259110". Lineage: Eukaryota; Viridiplantae; Streptophyta; Magnoliopsida; Brassicales; Brassicaceae. The record is from RNAcentral.